Molecule: long non-coding RNA, 289 nt
Organism: Branchiostoma belcheri (Belcher's lancelet)
Lineage: Eukaryota; Metazoa; Chordata; Leptocardii; Amphioxiformes; Branchiostomatidae
Exons: 3
Source: RefSeq, a predicted model, not a curated record
UCAGAUGUUUUCAACCCAAACCAGAAAAGUGGAGAGGUUGCGAAAGUGCAAGGUCCGAGAUACUUCAGUCUGGGCUGUUGGAAAGACACCAGCGACCGAGCCAUCACCAUGUUAGAGAAGACAGACGAACGGCUAGACGGAGCUUACGCCUCCCGUGCUAACGCCAUAGAAAAGUGCUACCAGGUGGCCAAGUCUCGUGGGUUUUUCAUCUUUGCGGUCCAAAAUGGCGGCGAGUGUUUUGGCUCUGCUACUGCCCUGAGCACCUACCGGAAGCACGGACCCUCGUCGG